This 437-nucleotide ribosomal RNA is filed under the name Wolbachia endosymbiont of Aphis gossypii. Its description in RNAcentral is "bacterial SSU rRNA". It matches the Rfam family "Bacterial small subunit ribosomal RNA", at positions 992 to 1428 of the family's 1533-position model. The record is from RNAcentral. Lineage: Bacteria; Pseudomonadati; Pseudomonadota; Alphaproteobacteria; Rickettsiales; Anaplasmataceae.
CAUACCUAUUCGAAGGGAUAGGGUCGGUUUGGCCGGAUUUCACACAGGUGUUGCAUGGCUGUCGUCAGCUCGUGUCGUGAGAUGUUGGGUUAAGUCCCGCAACGAGCGCAACCCUCAUCCUUAGUUACCAUCAGGUUAUGCUGGGGACUUUAAGGAAACUGCCAGUGAUAAACUGGGGGAAGGUGGGGAUGAUGUCAAGUCAUCAUGGCCCUUAUGGAGUGGGCUACACGCGUGCUACAAUGGUGAUUACAAUGGGCUGCAAGGUCGCAAGACUGAGCUAAUCCUAAAAAAUCAUCUCAGUUCGGAUCGUUCUCUGCAACUCGAGAGCAUGAAGUUGGAAUCGCUAGUAAUCGUGGAUCGGCAUGCCACGGUGAAUACGUUCUCGGGUCUUGUACACACUGCCCGUCACGCCAUGGGAAUUGGUUUCACUCGAAGCU